Long non-coding RNA from Dromiciops gliroides (monito del monte), 477 nucleotides. RefSeq lists it as uncharacterized. The transcript is spliced from 3 exons. NCBI's taxonomy places the organism in Eukaryota, Metazoa, Chordata, Mammalia, Microbiotheria, Microbiotheriidae. The record is from RefSeq and is a predicted model, not a curated record.
CGGCGGCCGGGGAGAGUGCAUCGAGACCGCUUAUAGAGAAUCAGCCGCGGGACCCGCGGCAAAGUGUGCGGCGCGUCGUGGCGCGGCGGCCCGGAGACCAGUCCCGACCGGGAGACAGCUUGUAUCACCAGACUGUGGAAAGACAAUUUUCUGACCUGAACAGGAUGAAGGAGACAUGAUAAUUGUCUGGUGUGAGCAACAGGAGCUAUCACCCAAGGCCUGUGGCUGGCAUGCUUUGCCCCCCAGGCAAAUGAAGAAAAUGAAGGGAACAGAUACCAAAUGGGAUGGUGUUGGGCUGGAGGAAGAAAGGGAAGAUGACCCCCUGAAAGGCCUGGGCAGCGAUAGAGCUCUCAGAUGAUCCUUACUGCCGUGUGUUGCCCUGAAUUGUCUGACACUGUCUUUAAUUGUGUCUGUACUCAAUAACCUGUGUACUCCCAUUUGCCAAAUGCUGCUCUGCCAAAGCAUCCUCAAAUAAAC